This is a long non-coding RNA of Mercenaria mercenaria, 3626 nucleotides long. RefSeq lists it as uncharacterized. Lineage: Eukaryota; Metazoa; Mollusca; Bivalvia; Venerida; Veneridae. The transcript has 3 exons. The record is from RefSeq and is a predicted model, not a curated record.
UGAACGGAUUAAUCUCUCAUAAUAACGGUAAUUUUAAAUGCUCGUGCGAUUUUAAGACCAGCUUCACUUUCUAGAUUGCUGUAUGAUUAUUCAAAUAUAGUGCUGCGCAGUAUCAAAUCUAUACGUAUUUUCUAUCAGGGAAGCAAGAUGAAAACAUCCGUUUUUUCCUUAACAGGACUCAUAGUCUGGAUUAUAUUCACCACUGCUGAAGGCACGACUGGAACAGUUGACUCUGUGUUUUUCGAUGUUGACGCCUCGAAACAAGGAACAGGAGAAGUCAUUGAAACACUGGCCUCUAGAUCUGAGCAACACUGCAGCUACCAAUGUUUUUCGAAUGAUCUAUGUGAGAGCGCUAACUAUCUCCAUAGAAACGGUCAAUGUAUUCUGCUGGAAUCUACAGAAAGCGUCGCGAAUACUGAUGACAACGCAGUGAUGCUUACCAAGGCUGGCUAAAAGAAAAUACAUUAAACAUUAGCUUUUAAAACUUCGGAUGAAUAUUCAUUAUAAAUACCAAAAUACUUUUUAAUGUGAUGCUGUGAUUUAAUUCGAAUAAUCGUAUUUUCUUAACGUUCCCAAUGUAUUCAAAAUCUUUUACUGGCCAAUGAGAUAAAGAUAGGCACUAUCAAUAUUUUGUUAAUAAUUCACAAUGGCCGUCUUAUUAUUCCUCCGACCGUCGUAUUCGCAUGGACUCGAGCAAAUACGAUUAUCCCCGGCCUAAUAACAUAAUGUUUUCCUUAGUUAACUAGCUCUUUUGAAUAUUCAUUACUUGAAUUGAGUCUCACAGAAAAACGCCGUCAUUUUUCUUCUUCUUUUAUUUCAUGCCAUGUCUACUUUCAAUGACGGCGUGAAAUGAAUUAAGACUUACCUGAGUAAACUCACCGCUUAUAUUCUGUUGAAAGUGUUGUAGUAAAUCAAAAACUGUUGCAAUCGGAUAUUAAGACGCAAUGCAGCAGUAUUUAUAGUAAACUCCUUGACUAGGAAAAAAGUCUUUCAAGAACGGUCUGUGCUAUGUGAAUUAAGCGACAGUCCAUCCAAAAUUAAUGACAUCUUCAAAUAUUCACUCAAAAACUUGGGAUUUUAACCCUCUUUACGAAAGAAAAAUACCUUCUUUGUGGAUGAAAAUAAAUUGAUGUGUCACCCGUAUUCCUAUCCAACGUAUAUCAACGCAAUGAAAUGUCCCCAGUAAAACAAAAUAACACGGUCAUGCAUCUAACAGUCCUCAAUUUUUUCUCACAUUUCUAGUCGUUUCCCCCAUAUAUAUACCGUCUAUUUGUUGACAUAAUUUCCCCAGAACAUUUCUUGAUUUGAUAUUUGCAUAAUUUUUUUAAUAGCUGAUCACAUAGUAAUUAUAGCUAUUCCAAAAUUAAUCUGCAAUAAUUAUGCAUGCCUAUUCCAUGCCUAGAGGUAAAAUAUUGCACAGUUUUAAAGAGUUAGAAAGUACCUAGUCACCUAACCCUACAAUGAAGUUUUGGGGAGUUGUCUCAAUCUUUUAUUUUUCAAAAUACUUUACCCAGUAUAAUUUUUUGCGGUUUACAUAACUUCUUUAGAUCAUGAUUCUUUCAUUUUUUUAUAUACCAUGAACUUUGAUGCAGUUUGCAACACGCAUAUCUGAAAUGAGUGAAAUAAAUUGUUGCAACUACAUAUUUUAUACUUUGAGUUCCAAUGCUUUCAUGUCUAAAACUGCAGUUGUAGCUCUUUAUUGUAUUCCUAUCUUAAACGAUGAGAAAGUUGGCAAUAUAACUGUGAAAACUAGUACUGCUUCUCUGUUUUUCUGAAACAAAAUUGUAUAGGUUUUAUGAUAAUUUGAUAAGUUAUUUUAUUGCUCUAUCAAAUAGAAUAAUUAUUCAGCAUUUCGCGUUUAUGUAUCUCAUUAUAUAAGGGUGUUGUGAGAGAAAUGCUAAACCAGCUUCAUUGUGUAGUGCAGUGCGUGUUUAUAAAGCACCAUUGAAACAAACUUAAUAAGUUGGCGGAUUUGUUGUGUAAUGUCGUAAUUAUUGCGGUACAUUUUAACUCACCUGUCACAUAGUGACAAGGUAAGCUUUUUUUAUCACCCGUCGUCCGUCGUCAGUCCGAGCGUCCGUCCGUGCGUGCGUCAACAAUUUCUUGUCUUCAAAAUAGUGGUUUCAUUUAUGAUUUUAUUUUAACCAAAUUUACACACAACUUGUAUCACUAUAAGAUCUUGGUUCCUUUCUUGAACUGGCCAGAUCCCAUAAUGGGUUCCAGAGUUAUGGCCCCUGAAUUGGCCAAAAUUAGCUAUUUUGACCUUGUCUGCACAAUAGCAGCUUGAUUUAUGACUAGAUUUUUACCAAACUUGCAGACAACUUGUAUCACUAUAAGAUCUUGGUUCCUUUCUUGAACUGACCAUAUUACAUUAUGGGUUCCAGAGUGAUGGCCCCUGAAAGGGCCAGAAUUAGCUAUUUUGAGGUCACCAAAUCAAAUCAAAGAAUAAGCCAUUUUACACCCUAGGAGGCACAAUUUUUAUUCUAUCUCCAUAAAUUUUGGUCAGAAUGUUUGUUUUCAUGAAUUUUUGAACGAUUUCAAAUCUGGGUCACUUGGGUUCAAAACCUGGGUCACUAGGUCAAAUCAAAGAAACUGCAUGUUUAUACUCAAUUUAAGAGGCGACGUUUUUUGGUCCAAUCUUAUUGAAAAUUGGUCAGAAUAUUUGUCUCCAUGAAAUCACUAGGUAAAACAUGUUUACACUGUUAUGGUGUGAUACACAGGUGAGUGAGCUAGGGCCAUCUUGGCCCUCUUGUUUUAAUCUCAUGCUUGUAGAUGCUUACUGUUAUUAUGUAUUGUGUCGGUCGUGUUACCUCUAUUUCACUUAUAUAUGAGCCUCAAAUAUGUUGCUAAAAGAUAACCUCAUUUAUUCAUGCAUACAUGAAAUAAGUGAAAUAUGACUUUACCUGAAAAGACAAAAGAAAUACUGUCAUUUUAUAUUUUAUGAACAUUUUUAAAGUAAUCAGCAAAAUUCUGAGAUACAGUUUUGUACCCAGUGCCAGAAAGAAGGUCUCUAUGAAGUUUGAAUAAAAAAUAAUGUUAUCACUCCAGCAUGAUUCAAAGGGAACAUACAAGAAACAAAAUGCACAUUUAGCUGAAUUCUGUAAUGUUUUGUAAUAAGUUCCUUCAAGCUUACUAAAUGACCUAUAUUUUGACCUUCAGUAAAAACGUUUGGCUACCAAAAUUAGCAUGUUAUUAUGCACAUUAUUGGGCAAAUUGGUGAUUGCUUUUUAACCUUACCCUGCUAAAUUUCUAAAAUGGACUGGUUUAUCAUUCAAUUUGGGGUGAUACCACUUAUUGUUAAAAGGGGUGUCCACAGAAAAUUUACAGGCUGAAUAGCGAACAGUGCAGACCAUGGUCAGCCUGAUCUUGGUCUGCACUGGUCGCAAAGGCUGAGUCACUUGACGCCCAGCAGGCUGACGGUUAAAAGAAUCUUUCUCUGGUUGUAUACUUGUAUAAGUAACAUGAUACAAAGUUGCAUAAUCUGAAUUUAACAUAGUAUUAGAAAUUCUGAGGGAACGAUCAUUUUAUAUUUUCUCACACACGAUUUACGAUUUUAUUAUACCAGAAGCUGCUUUACUUUUACCUAGCAAUGUUUAGUCAAUAAAUUAGUAAAGUAUGCAACACUU